This 429-nucleotide ribosomal RNA is filed under the name Gemmatimonadota bacterium. RNAcentral describes it as "Gemmatimonadetes bacterium partial 16S ribosomal RNA". It matches the Rfam family "Bacterial small subunit ribosomal RNA", at positions 355 to 776 of the family's 1533-position model. Lineage: Bacteria; Pseudomonadati; Gemmatimonadota. The record is from RNAcentral.
UAGGGAAUCUUCGGCAAUGGACGAAAGUCUGACCGAGCAACGCCGCGUGAGUGAAGAAGGUUUUCGGAUCGUAAAACUCUGUUGUUAGAGAAGAACAAGGACGUUAGUAACUGAACGUCCCCUGACGGUAUCUAACCAGAAAGCCACGGCUAACUACGUGCCAGCAGCCGCGGUAAUACGUAGGUGGCAAGCGUUGUCCGGAUUUAUUGGGCGUAAAGCGAGCGCAUGCGGUUUCUUAAGUCUGAUGUGAAAGCCCCCGGCUCAACCGGGGAGGGUCAUUGGAAACGGGGGGACUUGAGUGCAGAAGAGGAGAGUGGAAUUCCAUGUGUAGCGGUGAAAUGCGUAGAUAUAUGGAGGAACACCAGUGGCGAAGGCGGCUCUCUGGUCUGUAACUGACGCUGAGGCUCGAAAGCGUGGGGAGCAAACAGG